UACGUAGGUGGCAAGCGUUGUCCGGAAUUAUUGGGCGUAAAGAGCUCGUAGGCGGUCUGUCGCGUCGGCUGUGAAAAACCCGGAGCUCAACUCCGGGGCCUGCAGUCGAUACGGGGCAAACUGGAGUACUGCAGGGGGAGACUGGAAUUCCUGGUGUAGCGGUGAAAUGCGCAGAUAUCAGGGAGGGAACACCCGGUGGGCGAA
RNAcentral lists this ribosomal RNA (204 nucleotides) under uncultured bacterium. Its description in RNAcentral is "partial 16S ribosomal RNA". It matches the Rfam family "Bacterial small subunit ribosomal RNA", at positions 524 to 719 of the family's 1533-position model. The record is from RNAcentral.